Molecule: ribosomal RNA, 253 nt
Filed under: uncultured bacterium
Lineage: Bacteria
Description: partial 16S ribosomal RNA
Rfam family: Bacterial small subunit ribosomal RNA
Source: RNAcentral
UACGUAGGGCGCAAGCGUUAUCCGGAAUUAUUGGGCGUAAAGAGCUCGUAGGCGGUUUGUCGCGUCUGCCGUGAAAGCCCGGGGCUUAACCCCGGGUCUGCAUUCGAUACGGGCAGGCUAGAGUGUGGUAGGGGAGAUCGGAAUUCCUGGUGUAGCGGUGAAAUGCGCAGAUAUCAGGAGGAACACCGGUGGCGAAGGCGGAUCUCUGGGCCAUUACUGACGCUGAGGAGCGAAAGCGUGGGGAGCGAACAGG